RNAcentral lists this non-coding RNA (29 nucleotides) under Rattus norvegicus (Norway rat). The record is from RNAcentral. Lineage: Eukaryota; Metazoa; Chordata; Mammalia; Rodentia; Muridae.
UACACAUUAUAGGAGUUUGCAGCAGCACA